AGAUGUUGGGUUAAGUCCCGCAACGAGCGCAACCCUUAUCGUUAGUUGCCAGCGAGUCAAGUCGGGCACUCUAGCGAAACCGCCUCGGAUAACGGGGAGGAAGGUGGGGAUGACGUCAAGUCCUCAUGGCCUUUAUGUCCAGGGCUACACACGUGCUACAAUGGUCGGUACAAACCGUCGCAAACUCGCGAGAGGGAGCUAAUCGGAAAAAGCCGGCCUCAGUUCGGAUUGGAGUCUGCAACUCGACUCCAUGAAGCUGGAAUCGCUAGUAAUCGCGGAUCAGAACGCCGCGGUGAAUACGUUCCCGGGCCUUGUACACACCGCCCGUCACAUCACGAAAGUGGACUGCACUAGAAGCCGGCGUGCUAACCGCAAGGAGGCAGCCGUCCAAGGUAUGGUUCAUGAUUGGGGUGAAGUCGUAACAAGGUAA
This 430-nucleotide ribosomal RNA is filed under the name uncultured Acidobacteriota bacterium. RNAcentral's name for it is "bacterial SSU rRNA". It matches the Rfam family "Bacterial small subunit ribosomal RNA", at positions 1070 to 1499 of the family's 1533-position model. Lineage: Bacteria; Pseudomonadati; Acidobacteriota. The record is from RNAcentral.